GAUGAACGCUGGCGGCGUGCUUAACACAUGCAAGUCGAACGAUGAUCCUCACUUGUGGGGGGAUUAGUGGCGAACGGGUGAGUAACACGUGAGUAACCUGCCCUUAACUCUGGGAUAAGCCUGGGAAACUGGGUCUAAUACCGGAUAUGACCUUCCAUCGCAUGGUGGUUGGUGGAAAGCUUUUUGUGGUUUUGGAUGGACUCACGGCCUAUCAGCUUGUUGGUGAGGUAAUGGCUUACCAAGGCGACGACGGGUAGCCGGCCUGAGAGGGUGACCGGCCACACUGGGACUGAGACACGGCCCAGACUCCUACGGGAGGCAGCAGUGGGGAAUAUUGCACAAUGGGCGCAAGCCUGAUGCAGCGACGCCGCGUGAGGGAUGACGGCCUUCGGGUUGUAAACCUCUUUCAGUAGGGAAGAAGCGUAAGUGACGGUACCUGCAGAAGAAGCGCCGGCUAACUACGUGCCAGCAGCCGCGGUAAUACGUAGGGCGCAAGCGUUAUCCGGAAUUAUUGGGCGUAAAGAGCUCGUAGGCGGUUUGUCGCGU
Molecule: ribosomal RNA, 546 nt
Filed under: uncultured Actinomycetes bacterium
Lineage: Bacteria; Bacillati; Actinomycetota; Actinomycetes
Description: bacterial SSU rRNA
Rfam family: Bacterial small subunit ribosomal RNA
Source: RNAcentral